RNAcentral lists this ribosomal RNA (505 nucleotides) under uncultured bacterium. RNAcentral describes it as "partial 16S ribosomal RNA". It matches the Rfam family "Bacterial small subunit ribosomal RNA", at positions 28 to 507 of the family's 1533-position model. The record is from RNAcentral.
GACGAACGCUGGCGGCGUGCCUAAUACAUGCAAGUAGAACGCACAGUUUAUACCGUAGCUUGCUACACCAUAGACUGUGAGUUGCGAACGGGUGAGUAACGCGUAGGUAACCUGCCUGGCAGCGGGGGAUAACUAUUGGAAACGAUAGCUAAUACCGCAUAAUAUUAAUUAUUGCAUGAUAAUUAAUUGAAAGGUGCAAUUGCACCACUACCAGAUGGACCUGCGUUGUAUUAGCUAGUAGGUGAGGUAACGGCUCACCUAGGCGACGAUACAUAGCCGACCUGAGAGGGUGAUCGGCCACACUGGGACUGAGACACGGCCCAGACUCCUACGGGAGGCAGCAGUAGGGAAUCUUCGGCAAUGGACGAAAGUCUGACCGAGCAACGCCGCGUGAGUGAAGAAGGUUUUCGGAUCGUAAAGCUCUGUUGUAAGAGAAGAACGGGUGUGAGAGUGGAAAGUUCACACUGUGACGUUAUCUUACCAGAAAGGGACGGCUAACUACGUG